CGGCGGCGGUCCAGUCCCUUGGAAUCGGGCGUCGCAGAGGGUGAGAGCCCCGUACAAGAUCCGUCGCCAAACCCGUGCGAAGCCCUUUCGACGAGUCGAGUUGUUUGGGAAUGCAGCUCUAAAUGGGUGGUAAAUUUCAUCUAAAGCUAAAUAUCUGCCGGAGACCGAUAGGCACAAGUAGAGUGAUCGAAAGAUGAAACCCCCUUUGAAAAGAGAGUUAAACAGUACGUGAAAUUGUUGAAAGGGAAGCGCUUGGAACCAGACUCGCUCGCGGGUGCUCAGCCGUCCUCCGGGGCGGCGUACUCUCCCGCGAACGGGCCAGCAUCGGUUCCGGCGGCUGGACAAAGGCCCUGGGAACGUGGCUCUCUCCGGAGAGUGUUAUAGCCCGGGGUGCAAUGCAGCCCGCCGGGGCCGAGGACCGCGCUUCUGCUAGGAUGCUGGCGUAAUGGUUUCCAGCGGCCCGUCUUGAAACACGGACCAAGGAGUGGACCAACCGCGCGAGUGCUUGGGCGUCAAACCCCGGCGCGCAAUGAAAGUG
This 538-nucleotide ribosomal RNA is filed under the name Nadvornikia hawaiiensis. RNAcentral's name for it is "eukaryotic LSU rRNA". It matches the Rfam family "Eukaryotic large subunit ribosomal RNA", at positions 171 to 727 of the family's 3401-position model. Lineage: Eukaryota; Fungi; Ascomycota; Lecanoromycetes; Ostropales; Graphidaceae. The record is from RNAcentral.